CAACAGUACGUGAAACCGCAUAGAGGUAAACGGGUGGAUCCGCAAAGUCGGCCCGCGGAAUUCAGCUCGGAAGGCUGCGCGCCUGCCGCCGGGUAGGAGAUCGCAAGACUCUCCCGGCGCGGGACGCGUGCCGGCCGUGUGCACUUUCCGUGGGCAGAGCGCCACGACCGGUUUCCGGGCGGUCAGAAGGCGGCGAGGAUGGUAGGCGCGCGCCUCGGCGCGCGCUGGUAUAGCCUCGCCUGUCCCGAUCCGCCUGGGGACCGAGGAGCCGCCGUGGGCUGGGGCUGCCUCGCCCUCCCGGGACGUUCGACUGGCAGAGACUGGGUGACCGUGUCUGCCGACCGCUUCCUGGGACGGACUGGGGUGGGCCCGCCCUCACAGGGUCAGUGGCGAAUCGGUCGGCCCUCCACCCGACCCGUCUUGAAACACGGACCAAGGAGUCUAACAUGCGCGCGAGUCGUUGGGUCGUACGAAACCCGAAGGCGAAGUGAAAGCGAGGGCCGUCUCUGACGUGCUCAGGUGGGAUCCCGGUCCCUCGGCGGGCUGGGCGCACCACCGGCCCGUCUCGUCCGCGUGU
This 577-nucleotide ribosomal RNA is filed under the name Lophiotoma acuta. RNAcentral's name for it is "eukaryotic LSU rRNA". Lineage: Eukaryota; Metazoa; Mollusca; Gastropoda; Neogastropoda; Turridae. The record is from RNAcentral.